RNAcentral lists this ribosomal RNA (235 nucleotides) under uncultured Glomus. RNAcentral's name for it is "partial 18S ribosomal RNA". It matches the Rfam family "Eukaryotic small subunit ribosomal RNA", at positions 548 to 785 of the family's 1831-position model. Lineage: Eukaryota; Fungi; Glomeromycota; Glomeromycetes; Glomerales; Glomeraceae. The record is from RNAcentral.
UUGGAGGGCAAGUCUGGUGCCAGCAGCCGCGGUAAUUCCAGCUCCAAUAGCGUAUAUUAAAGUUGUUGCAGUUAAAAAGCUCGUAGUUGAAUUUCGAGGUCAGUAGGUCGGUCGUGCCAUCGGUAUGCACUGGCGUCACUGAUUCCUCCCUCUUGCAGAACCGUGAUGUCAUUAAGUUGGUGUGCGGCAUCAGACGUACCGUUACUUUGAAAAAAUUAGAGUGUUUAAAGCAGGC